RNAcentral lists this ribosomal RNA (276 nucleotides) under uncultured bacterium. Its description in RNAcentral is "partial 16S ribosomal RNA". It matches the Rfam family "Bacterial small subunit ribosomal RNA", at positions 335 to 600 of the family's 1533-position model. The record is from RNAcentral.
ACUCCUACGGGAGGCAGCAGUGGGGGAAUAUUGCACAAUGGGCGCAAGCCUGAUGCAGCCAUGCCGCGUGUGUGAAGAAAGGCCUUCGGGGUUGUAAAAGCACUUUCAGUCGUGAGGAGGUAGUGUAGUUAAUAGCUGCAUUAUUUGACGUUAGCGACAGAAGAAGCACCGGCUAACUCCGUGCCAGCAGCCGCGGUAAUACGGAGGGUGCGAGCGUUAAUCGGAAUUACUGGGCGUAAAGCGCAUGCAGGUGGUUUGUUAAGUCAGAUGUGAAAG